UAUGGUGGCUAUUCCGAGGGUGAUCACCUCUUCCCAUCCCGAACAGAGCAGUUAAGCCCCUCAUGGCCAAUGGUACUGCAGCCGCGUGCUGUGGGAGAGUAGGUAACUGCCAUAA
This 115-nucleotide ribosomal RNA is filed under the name Cnuella takakiae. The record is from RNAcentral. Lineage: Bacteria; Pseudomonadati; Bacteroidota; Chitinophagia; Chitinophagales; Chitinophagaceae.